AGUCCUGUAGCUCAAUGGUGGAGCGAGUUCCUUACAAGAACCGGGUUGCGGGUUCAAAUCCUGCCAGGACUACCA
This 75-nucleotide transfer RNA is filed under the name Leptolyngbya sp. Cla-17. Its description in RNAcentral is "tRNA-Val". It matches the Rfam family "tRNA". From Rfam's summary of the family: Transfer RNA (tRNA) molecules are approximately 80 nucleotides in length. Their secondary structure includes four short double-helical elements and three loops (D, anti-codon, and T loops). Further hydrogen bonds mediate the characteristic L-shaped molecular structure. tRNAs have two regions of fundamental functional importance: the anti-codon, which is responsible for specific mRNA codon recognition, and the 3' end, to which the tRNAs corresponding amino acid is attached (by aminoacyl-tRNA synthetases). tRNAs cope with the degeneracy of the genetic code in two manners: having more than one tRNA (with a specific anti-codon) for a particular amino acid; and 'wobble' base-pairing, i.e. permitting non-standard base-pairing at the 3rd anti-codon position. Lineage: Bacteria; Bacillati; Cyanobacteriota; Cyanophyceae; Leptolyngbyales; Leptolyngbyaceae. The record is from RNAcentral. RNAcentral also lists the same sequence under 1 other name.